Molecule: long non-coding RNA, 734 nt
Organism: Canis lupus familiaris (dog)
Lineage: Eukaryota; Metazoa; Chordata; Mammalia; Carnivora; Canidae
Exons: 4
Source: RefSeq, a predicted model, not a curated record
CGGAAGGGAAACAGGGAAACCACUCUGUUGCCUUCAGUUGACACCCAAUACACUCUGUUUCAAUGUGUACUGGGGUGAUGGGAUGCUCCACGACCGAACAUCCAGCAAGGGAAGGCAAGUGACACAGAAGCUUCCAGCACACAAGCUCAGAAGGUGGUGGAGAGGUCUCCCAUAUAGCAUGAUGUAUGAUCUACGAGAGAGAGAGAGAGAGAGAGAGAGAAGACAGGCUGAGGAAACAGGAACAUGGGGUCACAGCGACGUCCUGAACACCAGAAAGCUAGCGUUGUUUCUCUAUGGACACGGGCAACUGUUGCCUGGUUGAAGAUAAAUGAUCCAAGUCCUCUCCGCUCCGAAUUCUUCUCUCCACAAUAUCACUUAGGUGAACUCCGGCUCCGGGGCUGGGGUGGAAAGUAACACACCCAGGUGAACAUGAGCACAGCUGUGUCCUCAGAACUGAAGAUCCAGAUGUGGACAAAGGCAGGUGAAGUUGGUGACAAUAAAAUGUGACAAAGGUCACAAGGAGAAAAACAUGAGGAACCAGGAUGUAAUUCCAGCUUGAGCAUUACACCGGCCACCUCACCUCUUCCAAGUUCCAGCUCCCUCAUGGGCAACAUGCAAAUGCAGCAGGUGGCACCUUUCCAAGGUUCCUGUGAGCCGAGGAUGCCCACACACAGUGUCUGAGUCCCAGGCACACAGUGAGCAUGUGUAAAUGGAAGUGGUGGUGUGGUAGUUGU